UUCCGGUUGAUCCUGCCGGAGGUUACUGCUAUCGAGGUUCGACUAAGCCAUGCGAGUCGAGUGUAGCAAUACAUGGCGUACUGCUCAGUAACACGUGGACAACCUACCCUUAGGUCGGGGAUAAACCCGGGAAACUGGGUAUAAUACCCGAUAGAUCUCGGCUGCUGGAAUGCACCGAGCUCUAAAGCUCCGGCGCCUAAGGAUGGGUCUGCGGCCUAUCAGGUAGUAGUGGGUGUAGCGUACCUACUAGCCUACGACGGGUACGGGUUGUGAGAGCAAGAGCCCGGAGAUGGAUUCUGAGACACGAAUCCAGGCCCUACGGGGUGCAGCAGGCGCGAAAACUUUACAAUGCUGGAAACAGCGAUAAGGGGACCUCGAGUGCCAGGUUACAAAUCUGGCUGUCGUGAUGCCUAAAA
RNAcentral lists this ribosomal RNA (416 nucleotides) under uncultured archaeon. Its description in RNAcentral is "bacterial SSU rRNA". It matches the Rfam family "Archaeal small subunit ribosomal RNA", at positions 1 to 424 of the family's 1478-position model. The record is from RNAcentral.